UUUAAAUAGCCGCAGUAUUUUGACUGUGCGAAGGUAGCAUAAUCAUUUGUCUUUUAAUUGAAGGCUUGUAUGAAUGGUUUGAUGAGGGAAUGACUUUCUUUACACUAAAUGUUGAAUUUAAUUUUUCAGUCAAAAAGCUGAAAUUUUUUAAAGGGACGAGAAGACCCUAUAGAAUUUUACUUUUCUUGUAAUUAUAAAUAUUUGGUAAAUAUUAAUUUUUAAUUACAAUGAAAGUUUUGUUGGGGUGACAUUAGGAUUUAAAAAACUCCUAUAUUAUAUAACUUGUUAAUUUACAUUAUAAAGAUCCUUAAUUUUGGAUAAUUAGAUUAAAUUACCUUAGGGAUAACAGCGUAAUUUUUCUGGAGAGUUCAUAUCGAUAGAUAAGUUUGCGACCUCGAUGUUGGAUUAAAAUUAGAUUUAAGUGCAGAAGCUUAAU
RNAcentral lists this ribosomal RNA (436 nucleotides) under Stagonomus bipunctatus. RNAcentral's name for it is "partial 16S ribosomal RNA". It matches the Rfam family "Bacterial large subunit ribosomal RNA", at positions 1922 to 2567 of the family's 2925-position model. Lineage: Eukaryota; Metazoa; Arthropoda; Insecta; Hemiptera; Pentatomidae. The record is from RNAcentral.